AAGUUCCUGUAUUUUUAUGUGGAGUUGCUCACUGCCCAACGUAGAGGACUAGGAAUCAGGAGUCGGUGGCCGUAUGCUGGAGGCUGGAGCCGCGGGAGCGCGGCUCGCCUCGCUGCGGUUGUUGGCAGUGACGGAGAGAGAGCAGCGCGGCUGGAGCAGACGGAGUCUCGGUCUGUCGCCCAGGUUGGAGUGCAGUGGCACGAUCUCCGCUCACUGCCAAGCUCUGCCUCCUGGGUUCACGCCAUUUUCCUGCCUCGGCCUCCCGAGUAGCUGGGACUACAGGCGCCUGCCACCACGCCAGGACACUUUUUUUGUAUUUUUAGCAGAGACGGAGUUUCACCAUGUUGUUAGCCAGUAUGGUCUUGAUCUCCUGGCCUCAUGAUCGGCGCCCCUCAGCUUCCCAAAGUGCUGGGUGUACAGGGGUGAGCCACCGCUCCCUGCCUGUUUUUUCAUUCUACUGAUUGCUUCCUCUGCUUUGCUGAGGCGUUUUUUUUGUUUUUGAGACGGAGUCUUGCUCUGUCGCCCAGGCUGGAAUGCAGUAGCAUGGUCUCAGCUCACUGCAAGCUCUGACUCCGGGUUCACGCCAUUCUCCUGCCUCAGCCUCGCGAGUAGCUGGGACUGCAGGCGCAGGCUACCAAGCCCGGCUAAUUUUUUGUAUUUUUAGUGGAGACGGGGUUUCACCGUGUUAGCCAGGAUGGUCUCAAUCUCGUGAACUCAUGAUCUGCCUGCCUCGGCCUCAAAAAGUGCUGGGGUUACAGGCGUGAGCCACUGAGCCCGGCCUGGAAACGUAACUUUAUUUUUUAGUGUUGUAUUUGUGCAUAUACUUUAAUAGCCCUGAGUUUUAAUAAAGUUGCUUUUAAAAAAUGUAUCUUAUAUUUCAGAAAUACACCCUAAGGCAUGUGAUUAGUUGGGUGGCAUGUUGUUUAGUUUUUACAAUUGAAGGAUUGUCAUUCCUUUGUACAAAAAAAAAAAAAAUUAAACGUGAAUUUUUAUCAUAUGCUAGAGGAAAGAAGGCAGAUACUAAAUAAUAAAUAUUGUAUGCUUCCACGUAAAUAAAAUUUGAAAUUAUAUAAAGACAAUGCAUUAAACUUUUCUGGGGUUGAAGUGGGGAAUUCACUGGCAAAGGUCUUGCAAUAAAUGUGUAGGUGAAGGGAAUAUUCUAUAUUUGAUUGUGUAGGUGGUUAUCUAGCUUUAUAAAUUUGUAAAACUGAACUGGACUAAAAUGUGUGCCUUAUACGCAGAUUAUUCUAUAAAACUGAUUAAAACUAGUUAGAGAAUCAGUCAAGGGGAAAAGAAAGAAAAGGCACGUGAAAAAAUGCCAAUGCACUAGAAUUAUCUUUGAUGACAUUAAAUAUAGCCUGGUCUUCUCUUAAUUCUUUUUAAAAUUUACGUAGAUUUCUCAAUCCUUUGAUACUUUUUCCUCAACACAUCUUAUAUUCUCAUAUAUGUUAAUGUAUGGCUACAUAAGAGAGGGCUCUCUUACAGUUGGACUGGAACAGCUUGAUAUUUAUAUCUAGAGAUGCAUCGGAAGCAUAACACUGACCCGUGAGCAAGAUGAAAAUGGCAUGUGCUAGUUAGUGAUUCCUAAUGUUGCUUUAAGUUUAGUGCCAACUGGUCUACAUCGUUGAGAAUGUUUAGUUUGAUGGUUUACACAACUUGGCUUAAGAAGUAUAUGACCAACAAUGUAUGAGGGAGCCUGCUGUAAAGACUUUUCUGCACUUCCCUUUAAUUAUUAUAGUAAGCUCAAAUCUUGAAGGUUCAUAAUAUACAGAUAAACUGUGUCCGUGAGACUGAGAAAGGAUCUUUAGGGAGAAAGGCCCUGUUCCUGAAAGACAGACAUUCAAUGAUUUCCUGCAUUUUAUUUCUGUUGUACUUUACCUUUACCUUUAUUAAACACUAAUAAGGUGGUUCUUACAGGGCCUCAUAGGCCUUUUUAGUUUUCCAACCUAUUCAUACUUGGUGCAAACCUAGUAAUUUUUUGCGUGAUAGUGUUGGGAUUUUACUCUGAGGCUAGGCUUCACACUGUAAAAACAGCUUUUUGGAAUUGUAUCAUUUUCAGUCUUCCCAUCGUGUUCCACUGUCCCAGCCACACACACACCAGAUAUGAAGACUACAAGCAACCGCGAAAGGUGUAACACAUGUAUAGUAGAUGUUUUUACCUCUUGUAAAAUCUAAGGAAAAUAUACUAAAAAUGAAGGCAUCAGUAAAACAGUAUCAUUUUAGGUUGACCUCGAGUAUUUCAACAUCAGUCUAGCUUCAGAACAAUACAUUUGCAAGGGGAAAUGGUGUACUUUUGUGGUUUUUUUACACCUGUUAUUUCAAUUGAAAUUGAAAAAAACUAAUUUGAACUAACUAUAACCAUAAAAAGAAGGUUUUGUCAGUAUUGAAAUAAAAUAAAAUGCAUUUGUGGGACUGACCUCAGGACGCAUUUUAAAUAGUCAAUACUACCUCUAAAUCUCAUUCCCCCUUCUCUGAGCAUCAGCUUUAUUCUUAUUCCAUCUUUAAUUUGGCACUGACAGAUACAGACUCAUUCUUACAACAUAUACCAUCAGAAGUGAAACCUUCACUCUCUCCAACUCUUGAAAAAUCUGAGAUGCACUUUGACUAUUCUCAGAUCAUGGAUCUAUUACUUGGAUCAAAAAGUAUUGCACAGGGAAGUAGAUACUAUGAUCUCUGACAUUACAGUUUCAAGGUUGGAGUGAGAAAGGGAUAGCUCCCUAACGAGGGAGUAUCAUAGAAAUGAUAUUUUCAUGGUUAUACUUUUGUGAACUAGGCAGACAUCCCUUCAUGUCAACUACAUCUCUACUUUGAACAGAUAAAUAUCCAUGCAUAUACAAAAUUAUACAGUAACAUAAGCAUGACUUUUCAUUAAAAUUUUAACCAAAACAGUCUAUUUAGGUGAAUAAAUAUCGAUACAGGAGAUAGUUUUGCUUGAAUGAUCUUUUACCCUUGGGGAGACAUACAUAAAAGAAUGUCAUACUUUAUUAUGAAAUGACUGUCCAGCAUAUUUAUGAGUAAACUUUCAUAAUUUCUUUAUUGUCUAAAAUAAGCACAAAAACCCUUUUAGUUAAUUAAUAUCCCUUUUUGAUAUACGGAAUAAAUAUAAGAAAAUAGCACAAAUGGUAUUAUGCCAGCACACAGAAAAAGUUUCUGUUAAAAGUCAAUCCUGUAUUUUGAGAACUUGACAAAAUCAUAAUUGAAAAUAGUGUGUUGUCUUACAUGCAGAUGUUGUGUAGUCAGGGACAUCCAAAUCAACCUACAUCCAAAUAUUUCACAAUUAGUCUUAUUCUGUGAAGUAUUAUAAAACCACGCUCUCAGGAAUAUAAAAGCACAAAGGGACCCAGGACUCCAAAUAGCCAUUUAUUCAUUUCCUAAGGUUAGGUACAAUGAGGACUGCAUUUUCAACAUUAUCAGGGCCAUACAGACAUUGGAGCUUAAGGAUAAGAUCCAAUUUCAUAGCAAUCUGUUAAAGGAUAAGCCAGCGUAAUGACCCAGAUGUUCACCAUAAUAAUUACCAUCUUGAGUGAUGAUGCUAUGAAUACAAAGGAACACUGCAUCUCUAAAAUAAACUACGUUUAUAUGACGAGACCAAUUUGAUGGAAAGAAGGCAAACUGUGAAUGGUAAUUUUGUUUUCAUUGUGUGUACUCAUCUGAAAAUACAAUACUAUAUAAUUAGAAAACUUACAACACAAAUAAGACUGGAAGCCUUAACUUUUUAUAUCAAAUGUUCUGCACACAAAUAUAGCCUUUUACUGAAGAUCUAUGGAUCCAAAAUAUUGGUAGCUAUAAUUAUGCUUUGUAAAACAGAAGCUAUGAAUGCCUUACUACAGAAAGACACAAAGAAUCAUUUCCUUACUCACUGCUAGUAGACCCCGGGGCACAGCAUUUCCUGCCCAGAUACCUGAUUAUUAAUCCAGUUUUUGCUAGGGGUAUACUAACUAACUAACGGAGAUUGGUGUUUAAACCAGUUAAUGCAAAGAAAUGCUGUAGGAACUGAAAUAUUCCUUUUAAAUUAACAAAAGUGUUCUUUCUAGAUAAAGUUACAUGAGGACCCAAAUGUAUAAAAGAAUGUUUUGUUAUAUGGUUUUAGUACUUUGUUAGUGCCAGGUUAAAGACAUGUGGCCCUAGAUAGGAUAACUACAGAAAAGAAUUUGUUUACCUGCUUCACUAGAAAUCCAACAAUUAAGUCAGUAACUCUAUUUUCCAAUAUUCAUUUCCUCCAUUUUCUCAUCUUUUUGAUUGAUGGUAUCAUUUCGUUAUUUCAUUUUCAUUGACAUGGAAUUCAUUUAGGCUAAAACGACUUUUUGACUAUUUGUAUAUAUAUAUAAUUUUAAAAUCAAUGAACAAUAUUGUUUCUCUAUUUCCAAGAUUAUCCCUCUAUAUUCUCUAAAGUCAAUACCGUGAAACAGUCCAGAUAUGAGUCCAGGAAUGGCAGUAUGAAAUACUGUAAAACUGGAAGCAACUUAGUAGGUAAUCAAUAGGGAAAAUGAAACUCAAUAUAAUUGACUCUAGUUAAUGUAAUGAUGCAUUUAUUUUAGAUUUUUCUUGCAUUCCUAAGUCCUGCCUGGUUAUAGUAUAUUACAUGUUUUAUGUAUUGCUGGAUUUUGAUCGUUAGCAUUUUGCUGAGGAUUUUUUCCAUCUAUUUUUGUUAAAGAUAUUGUUCUGUGUUUUUGUUUUCUUUUUUUUUUUUUGAUGCUAUUGUAUGGUUUUGUUAUUAGGGUAAUACUAGCUUCAUAGAAUAAACUGGGAAGCGUAUUCUCUUUUUUUUUGGCAAGAGUUUGUAAAUAAUUGUAUUAAUUCAACUUUGAAAGUUUGGUAGAGGCAUUCUUGGCUAGAAGAUUUGUUGCUGUUGUCAUUGUUUCCUGAGGUGGUAGUUUUGAUUACUAAAUCUCUUUACUUGAUAAGAUUUUAUAUUUCUCCUUGAUUCAUUUUUGCUAAUUUGAAUCUUAGAAUUUGUCCUGUUCUUUAAAAAAUCUAAAUUUUAGAUAUAAUUGUUCAUAGGUACUUUUGUAAUAAUUUUUUAUGUCUUUUAGUGUUCUUUUAAAAAUUUCAUUGAUACUUGAAUAGUUUCUCUUGUUGGUCAGUUUAUGUAAAUUGUGGCCACUUUUGAUGUGUUCAAAGAAACAAUUUUUGGCUUUGUUGAGGUUCUCAAUUGUUUUUCUAUUUUGUAUUUCACUAAUUUGUAUAUCCCUAAUACUUCCUUGUGGUUGCUGUAGUUUUAAUUUGCUCUUCUUUUUUCAGUGCCUUAUGGUGGCAGGUUAGAGAAUGUUAUUUUUGAGUAUGAGAACUACUUUUAUUGCAUCACGUAAGAGAUAUUAUGCAUUCUUAAAGUGUUUUAUUUUUUUUAAAGUAUUUUCUAAUUUAUCUUAUUUCUUCUUGGACCCAUUGGUUAUUUAAUAGCAUGUUUAAUUUCCACAUAAUUCUGAGUUUCCCAAAUUUUCCUAUUGCUGAUUUAUUAUUUUACUCAGUUAUUGUCUGAAAAUAUACUUUGUAUUAUUCCAAUGUUUAAAUUCAUUGAGGUCUGUUUUAUGGCCUGGGGUAUGGUAUUCCUGGGUAAUAUUGCAUGUGCACUUGAGAAUCUACUGUUGUUAAAGUGUUCCUUAAAUAUCUAAUCAGUCUAGUUAUUUUGUAGUAUUGUUCAAGUGUUCUAUUUCUUUGUUGAUCUUCUGCCUAGUCAUUUUAUCCAUUUGUGAAAGUGAGUAUUAAAGGCUGCAAGAAGUAUGUUAAAUUGUCUAAUCUUCAUUUUUGGAGGUUUCUGUGUCAAUAGAUUUUGAAGUUUUUUAUCACACACAUAUAUAUGCCUGUAAUUGUUAUUUAUUUUUGAGAUAUUGGCCCUUUUAUUUUUAUGAAAGCUCUCUUUACCUCUGUAACCCCUUUUGUUUUAAAGUCUAUUUUUUUUCUGAUAUUAAUAUAACAAUUCCUGCUUUCUUGUGGUUACUGCCUGCAUCAUAUAACUUUUCCAUCCUUUUUUUCCUAUUAAUUUUCAUGUUUGGAUCUGAAGUAUGUCUCCUGCAGACAACAUGUAGAUGGAUCUUAUUUAUUUAAUUUGUUUUUCUCCAGUCUGACAAUCUGUCUUUUAUUUGAAUAUUUAAAUUCAUUUUCACUUGAGGUUACUAGUAUAGAUUUACAUCCAUUUUACUUCAGUUUUCUGUAUACCUUAUGUCUUUUCAUUUCUCUAUUCCUCCUCCUUUCUUUUGUAUUAGGUAUUUUUUAUAAAACAUUUAAUCUAUAUUUAAUAAUAUCUAUAUUUUUUCAAUGUUUCCCUUCAUUGUUACUUUAGGGUUUACUGUAGACAUCACAAUCAAUUUUAGGUGCAUAACAAUUCUAGUGGCAUAUAUGUAUAUAUAAAUUUUACUUUUGUUCACUUUUGUGUACUUUGGCUCUCCUUUUUGUGCUAUUGCUGUACACAUUACAUCUAUAUAUGCUAUAUACCCAAUAAUUUAUUGUUAUAACUGUUACUUGAUGAUAUGGUUUGUUGUUUUGUCCUCUCCAAAGUUCAUUUUGAAACAAUUUCAAUGUGACAGCAUUAAGAGCUGGAACCUUGAGGAUAUGAUUAGGCUAUUGGGGUCUGUCCUCAUGGAUGGUAUGAGUGUCUUAUAGAAGGGCUGGAGGGAAUUAGGACCCUUUGCCUUUUCAUCCUUUUCACCGUAUGAAAAUACAGCAUUCGUCCCCUCUGGAGGAUGCAGUAUUCAAGGCACCUCACUAGACACCAAACCUGCCAGCAAAUUGAUCUUAAACUUCCAGCCUGCAGAACUAUGAGAAAUAAAUUUCUUCUUUACAAAUUUCUCAGUCUCUGGUAUAUAUAUGUAUCAGCAUGAACAGACUAACAUACUUGACAUAAUUUUAUGUCUUAAAAAGAUAAAAAGAAACGUACUAUGUAUUUACGGCUUUUGUUACAUUAGCAGUCUUAUUUAUUAUUUCAGGUCUUUUCAUUUGUUCAGCAUUUGAAACUUCUUCCUGACACCAGAAGGGCUCUUCUUAGCUGUCUUUUUCCUGGGUUAUUCCUGGUAAACUAGCUGACCUUUGUUUCAAAGCAUAUGUCUCUAAUAAAGUGCCAGUCUCUCUUAUUUGCUUUUUACCAUCACUUCAUUGUUUUUCAAAGUACGCUUAUGGUUGAAUUUCCCCAAACUCUUCUUUUGGGAAAAGCUUUACACUCUCUGCUCUAUGUUCUGCCCCUUCCUUUGGGCAAAACUUCUGAGCUUUGGCUCUGGUGAUUGUAGCAAAGAGAGCAGCAUUCUCCUCUCGGAGUGACAGCCCUACUUUGAGACUGUCACUGGGAUGGGAAGUAGCCGUUGGUAAUCUCAGCUUUGCCACUCCUGGAAUGAGAACUUUGCCUUACAGACAAACCAGAAAGAAGGCGAUCAGGGCUCAGUGUUCUCAGUGUGUUGCACCCAAACAGUCCCCAUUCCAUGAAUUAGAGCUGGUAGGAAGAAGUGACAUCCUACUUCUUGGCCACAUUCCACAAAAGCUUAAUCUCAAGAACAGGUAGUGGCAGCAGGUGGGGGUUGAAAUGAAAAGUUCGGAUGUACUGUUACUCCCAGAAAGAUACUAUAGCCCCCCAGUGGGGUCUAGUAAAAGUUCUGUGUUCUUGGCUACAUUGCAUUGAGUAGAGUUUAUGUCAAGAUAGGCUAUGAGAAAAAGAGGUAAGAAUGGGUUGUGGAUCAAAUGCAAAAAACUCUUACUGUUCUUAGUGAGUUUCAGUAGAUUUUCUUGAAUAAAUAGUUCAUCAUUUUCUAUGUACCAUUAUGACUUUUCAAGUGACAUAGGUGAUGGUUGUUUUAUAAUUUUCAACAAUUUUAUAAAAGAUCCAUGGAGCUCUUCACAUUGCCAUUCUAGAGGUGGAACUUCUACAUUUAUUUCUUAGGCAAGGAAAUUAAGGUUUUCUUUAAUUUCUCUUCUUCUAAAAUAUGCUUUGGAAUCUCACUCUCUACAGCAAAUUGGGUCUCAGUAUAUUUCUUUCUCCAAGAGAAGUUUGCUAGAUACUCAAAUAAUUUUUGUUUUAUAUUGUUAUGUUUGAAAGGUUGUUUUGUUGUUAAAAGACAAUAGGAAGAUCAACAUGAAACCCUCACAUUCAUUGUAUAUUAUCUUUUCAUUCAGAAAGUUACAAUAUAUUUGAGUGCUCAUGAAGCUUUAAAAAGAAGUGGAUUAAGUAAUCAAUCUCCCUAGACAGAUAAAAAAGCACAUGAUAUUUUGGUAUUCCCCAACUGUUGUUAUUUGACUUUCAUGUUCUAGCAAAUAACUUUCAACAAUUUGUCAACUUACUUGCACAUUUAUAUUUUAUAUUAUUAAUUCCAUUAUUUAUGCAUGUGUUGAAUAGACUUUAAUAUAUAGAGUAGAUGUUGACACACUCGAAUUUGUAACAAAGUGAAAAAUUACUUUGAUACAUAUUUUUUCUGACAAAAUUAUGAAGUGCUUUUCCAUCUCUUCUAAAACAACAUAGAAAACAUGUUUCUUUCUCAUUAUUAAAUACAUGACUCGGAAUACAGCAAAAUUAAUUGGCUAUAAAGCAAACCUUUAAAAGAGAAUAGUUUGAUGAAAAAUAUAAGCAUUCUUAGUUAUACAUAAGAUCCCACAGAGCCAAUUUAACUUUUUUUCCAGAUUUAUGUCCCAAUUUAAAACUUUAAUUCCUACUGUCUAAGCAUUGUGGCUAAAAGUAUGAGAUAAGUAAUUACUCCUGACAUCCAACUUUUGUGAUCAUAGUAGGUGACAUUCCUUUGAAAAAAGUAACUUGAAAAUUUUCUGGUAAACGUUACGUUUGUGUGUGGGUGUAGAGUUUCAUUUUCAAAACAAGCUCUCACAUAUCAAAGUUAAGUGUUUUAAUUAUCUUGUAAGACUAUGUCCUUGGAUCCUAUGCUGUAUGCCAAUAUUUAUACAUGUUGAAUAUGCUUUCAUUUAACUUACAUAGCCAUAAUGCUUAACUUUAAUCAGAGAUUCCUUACUAAUUCUGAUGAAUGUUGGUAGAAAAUAUGCUGAAAAUAAAAUAUGUUAGAAUAAUUUUCAAUGAAAGGAUAAAAGGAAAGAAGCUAGCAGAAGAGCCAGCACCACAGAAAGCAAAGUCACAUUCUGGAUCCAAGCAACAUUUCCAUGAGCAAAGAACCAGCAAAUUGGAUUCACGAGACAGGGAGCAGAAGCAAGAGUGUGAAGAGGAAAUUGACUUUUUUUUGUUUUUUAUUUGUUUUCUCAUGAGGAGAGUAUACUAGUAGUAGAAAAAAGUUACAUGACUGAUUCCAGAGAGACACAGGUAGAAUAUCUGGACCCUCUGUAUAGGAUAGCUAGUGAUUAUAUUGUGUGUUCUGGAGGUAAGAUUUGUAUAAAUUCAAGCCUACAAUAGUAUCAAGGCCUAUUAAGCAAACAUCCAUUAGACAGCAUGAAAGACUAAGAGGCUUUCAAACUACAAGUGUCAAUAGUUAAAUGUGAAGCAAGUACAUAUAGACAUUUGAUACUAUGACAAAAUAAUGAGAGGUUUAUCAUAAUAUAAUUUAAUAUUUUGUUCUUCAGUUUAGUAAUUAUAUAAAGCUACAUGCUAGUUUUUCACAACUUAACCAAUCCUCUUUAAUAUAUUUUUAUGAAAUUUCCUGCUAUACUUGGGAUACAGUUUAGAGUGUAAACUCAUUUUGUAGGAUUUUUUUUAAAAAAUCCUGAAACAACAUAGUGAUAAAUUUAAAUAGUUUUGCCAGUUGAAUCAUGUAUGUGAUAAAAAGGCUUUAUAUUUUUGAUUCCUAAAUCAGGGUAUGACAGUACAAAUCAUAAAUCAAGUAUUCUUAUGUCCAUUGUAUAAAUAUAGAAUAAUGCCCAAACCUUUUUUGAAUGUGAGGGUAUGUCAUGAGCAUCAAAAGGGGAAAAAAAAGUAUGAAAAUCCCUAAGAGUUUUACUCUGGAAAGUCAUAUAGAUUGUGCAUUCUUUAGCUGACAUUUUAAAACAGAUACCUGAAAUCAUUUGCUUAACCCCUUUGAAUAAUAUACUAUUGCCUUUAAGAGAAAUUCUGUAAUCUACUAAAGGUCCUUUUCGUAUAGCCCUGACCUCUCUCCAGUCACGUGCCGUUACUGGUGUCUGUGACCCAAACACACUAGUUGUCUCUCGAUUUCGCUAAGACGUUCUGCAUUCUUUCUUCUCACAGCUUUUAUGUCUAUUGCUUCUUCAAGGCAUACUUCUCUAAUAUUUACUAGCUACUAUUAUUUUGAAUGAGUUUAAUGGUUUAUUUUCGAGGAGACAAGGGCAAAUUUUGCUGCUCUGUAUUCCCAUAGUAUUGUGGUCUUCUCUAUAUUAAAAACUCAUCGGGCUAAAAAUUGUUUGUGGUUCCCAUUUAUUUACCUGCUAGAUUGUAAAUUCCAUGAGGACUGGAAAUUCAACUCUUAUUUACCUGUGUAUCUCAAACUUUGUAACAUUCUUUCUGUGAGACAGUCAUGUAUUUAUUAAAAUGAAUGAAAUGUUUAUGUCUAUAGACUACAUUACCAAUACCUCUUGCACUAUUAAAUUUUCCUUAAUUUCAAAAAAGCCAAACAUUAUUUUUUUCUCAUUUAUAUAGUUUGAAAUUCUUUUCUAGCAAUAAUGUUUCACCCAUAAAAAGACCUAUUAAAAUUUAAUAAUAAGGGGAGGGAUAAAAUAACUAUGCAUUUUUUGUUGAAAUCACAGUUGUCUGAUACUUUAAUUAUGCUAUCUAAUUUAACCUUUCAUAAAUGCCCAGAAUAUGAGAAUAUCAUCCAAGAUUUAAAUACCAAUUGCCAAAAUUUACAGCUAUCAAAUGGAAGACUCAGGUUUGUGCUAUGCCACAUUUUCUGUUCUUUCCUUUUUGUGAUGGUAUGCCAAACUGUGGAGAAAGAAAGCAUUUCUAUUUGUGAUUGCCUCUGCUAGUUAUUUCUGCAAAACAAACUACUCAAAUUCAGUGGCAUGAUGCAAUAACCAUUUUGUCAUCCUCAAAUAUUCUGGGGUCGGGGUUGAAAAUGCAAAGUGGGGUGACAUUUCUGUGGUAUACAGUAUUUGGGGCCUCUGAGAAGUCCUAGAUGUCUAGGAAUGAAUUAAACGUUGGACAAUGAAAUCUUCUAAAAGCUUCUUUACAUGUUUGGCUCCUGCAUUGGUAUGACUUAAAGGCUGGGCUCAAAAUAAUCUCUUAACCAGAGUGUCUGAAUAUUGCUUCUUCAUGUAACUUGAGCUUCCUCACAGCAUGGAAUCAUACAGGUAGCUUGCCUGAGUGUUUCAGUUAAUGGGUCAUUGUAUUGCCUUUAAUAAUCUUGCCUCAGAAGUCACAUAGAAUUACUUUAACGCUGAGUUGGUUUAAGCAAUCACAGCCUGUCUGACUUCAGGGGGAAGAAACAUGAUGUCUACCCUUUGAUGUGAGGACAUUCAAAGUAUUCGUAGCUAUAUUUUUAAAAUGCCACAGUUAUCUUCUUUUCAAAGAGAUGCCAUAUCCUUAUUAUCAGCAAUAGAAUCAGGAUUUGAAAAUAGUUCUUUUGCUACAUACGCAUUUUUAUAAUCAUUCUUGCUAUUAUAAUUUUUUUCAGAAAGGGUGAAGGGGUAAGGAUUAUGUUUCAUUCUUUCUCAAAUUUUGUAUUCUAUAAGUAUUUUUAUUUUUUGUCCAUAAUAGAUUAUGGUACAAAGGUAACUCAAAACUAGAGUGUAUAAAUAUAAAAAAUAAGUUUUCAUAUCCAAGCUGUGGAUAAGAUAUUAAAAUAUAAAAAAGAUUUUGAAUUUGUUUUAAAAAUUAAGUCUUCUAAUUUUGUGAAAAGAACUAAGAUAAUUGUCCACUAAUCACUCAUUAAAUCUCCUUAUUAACUUAAUUUCCUUAUUAACAUUAACAAAGCCUGCAUUGCCAAGACAAUCCUAAGCCAAAAGAACAAAGCUGGAGGCAUCAUGCUACCUGACUUCAAACUAUACUACAAGGCUACAGUAAGCAAAACAGCAGGGUGCUGGUACCAAAACAGAGAUACAGACCAGUGGAACAGAACAGAGCCCUCAGAAAUAAUACCACAUAUCUACAACCCAUCUGAUCUUUGACAAACCUGACAAAAACAAGAAAUGGGGAAAGGAUUCCCUAUUUAAUAAAUGGUGCUGGGAAAACUGGUUAGUCACAUGUAGAAAGCUGAAACUGGAUCCCUUCCUUACACCUUAGACAAAAAUUAAUUCAAGAUGGAUUAAAGACUUACAUGUUAGACCUAAAGCCAUAAAAACCCUAGAAGAAAACCUAGGCAAUACCAUUCAAGGCAUAGGCAUGGGCAAGGACUUCAUGUCUAAAACACAAAAAGCAAUGGCUACAAAAGCCAAAAUUGACAAAUGGGAUCUAAUUAAACUAAAAAGCUUCUGCACAGCAAAAGAAACUACCAUCAGAGUGAACAGGCAACCUACAGAAUGGGAGAAAAUUUUUGCAAUCUACUCAUCUGACAAAGGGCUAAUAUCCAGAACCUACAAAGAACUCAAACAAAUUUACAAGAAAAAAAAAAAACCAUCAAAAAGUGGGCAAAGGAUAUGAACAGACACUUCUCAAAAGAAGACAUUUAUGCAGCCAACAGACACAUGAAAAAAUGCUCAUCAUCACUGGCCAUCAGAGAAAUGCAAAUCAAAACCACAGUGAGAUACCAUCUCACACCAGUUAGAAUGGUGAUCAUUAAAAAGUCAGGAAACAGCAGGUGCUGGAGAGGAUGUUGAGAAAUAGGAACACUUUAAUGCUGUUGGUGGGACUGUAAACUGGGUCAACCAUGGUGGAAGAAAGUGUGGCGAUUCCUCAAGGAUCUAGAACUAGAAAUACCAUUUGACCCAGCAAUCCCAUUAGUGGGUAUACACCCAAAGGAUUAUAAAUCAUGCUACUAUAAAGACACAUGCACACGUAUGUUUAUUGUGGCACUAUUCACAAUAGCAAAGACUUGGAACCAACCCAAAUGUCCAACAAUGAUAGAAUGGAUUAAGAAAAUGUGGCACAUAUACACCAUGGAAUACUAUGCAGCCAUAAAAAGGAUAAGUUCAUGUCCUUUGUAGGGACAUGGAUGAAGCUGGAAACCAUCAUUCUCAGCAAACUAUGGCAGGGACAAAAAAUCAAACACUGCAUGUUCUCACUCAUAGGUGGGAAUUGAACAAUGAGAACACUUGAACACAGGAAAGGGAAACAUCACACUGGGGCCUGUCAUGGGGUGGGGGGAGGGGGGAGGGAUAACAUUAGGAGAUAUACCUAAUGUAAAUGAGGAGUUAAUGGGUGCAGCACACCAACAUGGCACAUGUAUACAUAUGUAACAAACCUGCACAUUGUGCACAUGUAUCCUAGAACUUAAAGUAUAAUAAAAAAAAUAGUAAAUAUCAAUAGAUACAACUGACUUAAACAAAAGCUCUUUGGAAUCUGCAAUCAUUUUUAUUUUAUUUAUUUAUUUAUCAUUAUGAAGACAGUUUAACUGAGAUCCAGUCAUUUGAUAGAAAACUAGAGCUUCCUGUGUCAAUAAGGACUGAUCUCAAAAAUGUGUGUCCAGACAAAAGAAAGUUGCAAAAUAUGUAGAGUGUACAACAAUUUAUAUACACUUUUAGGACAUGAAAACAAAUUAUACUUAUUAUUUAUGACCAUACACAUAUGUAAUAAAAUGUUUUAUAAGGGAAUGGACAUGAUAAAUGCUUAAUUCAGGGUAUUGGUUACCUCUAGGCAAUAAUAUUUAAUCAUAUAAAAGGAGCCCCAGGCCAAAAAGUUUCAGAAUCAGUGUUUUAAAAGACUGUGUCCACCAUACAGUUAUUAAGGAGUGAUUAAUUGCUUUCCUCAUUUUUGAUAAUCAAAGAUACCCCCACAAUACACACACACAUGAUCUGCUAACCAGAAUAUCUGACUGGCUUUAAAUCAUCAGUAUAGCCACACUAUGAUGAAACAAUUAAACUUAAAGCACAACUCACAUGUUGGCAAGUAAAGUUUGUCUUAUAUUAUUUCCACCUUCCUAAUACCCACUCUUCCUUUUUCUGAAGUAUUAUCUCAUUUUACCACCCUCCAUCAUAUCCAACUGCUUCUUUUCCCUUCAUUUACUCCCUGUACUCUCUGCCUUCCACAUUGUUUAUUCUCCCUUUUACUCUUAUCCUUUUCCUUCUAUCCUGACACUGCAUAUCUAGGGUUCAGUACUAUCCACAGUUCCAGGCAUUCACUGGGGGUCUUGGAAUAUAUCCCCAUGGAUAAGGGGGGAAAACUGUACAUUUUGUUGUGUAGGUCUAUGGGUGCUGUGCUGUGUUAUAUGGCAAAACAUAGGGAAGAGACCAGGGACAAGGAUCUUUGCAAAGACUUUUGAGCUGCCAGUGGAGAAGAGCUCAAGGGAGAUCAAUGUACUCACUCUCACUAAUCAUCUUCUAGGGCAGAUGCUGGCAAUGUUUACUGAGUUCUAGCUAUUUUCCCUAGCACAAACAAGGCUCAAAUUCACCUCCCAUUUUACCUCCUAUGGACAGAACCACUGGAAAGAUCACUCCCAUAAAGAGCUUAUUCAUUCUGAGCCACACCAUUCAUUCAGUGAGAAGCUUAAGAAGAAACACUGCCACGGUGUAUGAAAAAUAAAUAUGAAAAACUACCUGAUAUGAAAAAUAUAUAUGAACAGAACUAUCAAUCAAGCUGCCAGAAUGUGCCAACAGUUGUUAACUGUCUCCGGUGAAAACAAAAUUAUUUUUCACUUCUUGUAAAGCAAAACACUGGUAUUUCUUAUGACAGAGCAUCUAGUUACAGAUGAGCCAUGUUAUAAUAAUAUAGACUGUUUUCAAGCUCAUCCCUAUAAAGAAGAGAACCAGUGAGGAACAUAUUUAUUCACCUGUAAUAUUCACUGCCUGAUCUUCUUUUUAAGUGCAAGGUAAGUACGCAAGACUUUGUGAUUCCAGUUUUAUAAAGACCAGCUCUUGAGAUUAUCCUGUCCCAUCGCUAAAGUCUAUCUGGACCCAUCUCCUAGAGCACGAUGGUCCAGUUAGUGCUGUGGAAUACUGCAUGGUGCCAUUUUUCCCCACCCUCCCCGUUACAUGGCAAAUGUCUACAGAAAUCACACUUUCUCAGCACGUCAAGUCAUAUGUCAUCAGAUCCUAUUCUGAUGAACAAAACACGAGAAAAACAAAGGCAAGGACAAAGAACAUCUAAAAUGACAGAAUCCAAUUACUAUGGAAAUUUGUUGUUUAAAUAUUCAAAAAGAUAUCCACUGUUUUAUUCCAACUAUAUGACUAGUCUGGAAAAAGCAAAACUAUGGAGACGCCAAAAAGAACAAUGGUUGCCAGAAGCCAGUGGAGAAGAAGAAACAAAAUGGCAGAGGACAGAGGAUAUUUAGGGCAGUGAAACUAUUUUGUCUAUGAUACUACAAGGGUAUAUACAUGCCAUUACACAUUUGUCCAAUAUCAUGGAGUAUACUACACCAAGAGUGAACCCUAAUGUAAACUGUGGACCUUGGGAGUGAUGUGUCUGUCAAGGUAGAUUCCUCAACUGUAACUGAUGAACUCUGAUGGGGGGUACUGAUAAUGAGGGAGGCUAUUCAUAUGUCAGGGGUCAUGGGGAAUAUGGAAAGUCUCUGUACCUUCUCAGUUUUGCUGUGAAUCUAAGACUGCUCGGAAAAUAAUGUUACUAAUUUUAAAAAAUUACUCACUGAACUUGCUAUUACCCUAAACUAUAAAAAGACAGAGUCACCUUGAAAACUGCAAAUCACUAAAGAUCAAGGUAACAGAAUAUGAGUACUAUCUCCCAAAUUGAAGCAUAUAAAAACACAUAAAGCAAUUAAUUUUAAUUGCAUAUUUAGGCAAAAAAAAUUGAUAAAAAUAAUUGAAUAUCUAAUCUUAUUUCAUAAUUAUAAACAGGGACUUAAUACAAUAUGAAUCAAAAAUGGUCCAUCCAUGUAAAUAAAAUGAAAGACAAUUUUUAUUCUAAUUUUAAAUCAGAAAUUAUUAUGCCUAUUUUAUCCCACAAUUUUACUGAAAAGUUAAUCAGGUAAGAAGGACAGAUUAUAAUUACUUAAUAUUGCCAUAGUAACUUAUGCAUAAAUACCUGUUAAGUAUUCACCAAAUGUCAAAACUGUAAGCAGCCUUGCUGCUUAACAUGAAUGAUGCAACUGAAACAAAUACCAUGUUAUGGUCUAUCAUAAUAUUUGCUAUUAUAUUACAUAAAAUUUUAAGAUAACAUCAAAAAUUUAGUCAGGGCCAUAGCUGCUGGGCAGCAAAGAUUUCAUAUAGCAGGCACAAGACAUCCAUCCUUAGAAAGGCUUGCUUGCAAGGCUAGUCCUUGGCUGGUGUUUGGGACCUUGAAUUUGAGAGGGUUCCCACCAUUCCCUAACUUAGAAGAAGGGAAUGGCUCACUGUGCCUAAAUUGUUUGUGCAAAUGUGGUUUACUAUGAACAGUUAAUCUCUUCCUGGGAGUCUAGAAUUUUGUUACAUGUGAGGGAGAGAAGAGGUGGCCUAUGUGACUAGCCUCCGUUGAAAACAUGGAUGCUAAGUCUCUAAUGAAACUCUGGUAAGGUAGACAACAUUGCACAUGUGUCGUCAAAAUUUGAGGCUGGGGGAAUUAAGCGCAUCCUGCUAACUACACAGGAGAUGACUCCUGUAGCUUGUGCCUGGCUUCCUCCAGACUUUGACACAUGCACCUUUUCCCUUCUUGAAUUUUACUUUGUGUCUUUUCACUGUAUUAAAUAUAAUAAAUGAAAGCCCCGAGUAUGACUGACUGCUGAGUCCUGUGAGUCCUUCUCAGUGAAUUACCAAACCUAGGAUGGUCUUGGGAACCCCUGAUACAAUUGCAUUAUACAAUUUUUUUUAUUGUUUAAGUUGAUGUGUUAUAUGUGACUACAAUCAGAAGGAGUUUUAACUUAUCUGGCAGGGAGAAGAGUCUAUCUUAUAUAUAGAUGGUUAAAAUUGUGGUAAUCCAAUUGACCAUAUAUUCUAGUUAAAUCACAGAUUACCAAUUUCUGAAGAAAUAUAAUACCAGAAAAGCACUUCACAUUUAAACUAUGUCAGAUAAAACAAUUUGUAUUUGAUAACCCAGAAGACACUUAAAAUCUUGGCAGACCAUCAUCGUUGUAUCAUUGUGGUGCAGAUAUAAAGAAGUGCAUUUGAAAUGUGUUCUAAUAGUAUUUUCUUUAGGGAUGAAAUGCAAAAGGAAGCAGUAAGAGCAGAAAUACGACAAGGGGAUAAAAUGAAAAGGGAACUGCACUAAUAAAAAGAGUCAGGCACUGAUUUUUCUACUGAUGUGACCAGUAUUCCCCAAGUACUGAGAACUACUAUAUUCAGCAUUUCACUUUAUAUUCUUCUCCAGGACAUUGUAUUAGUUUCCUGCAAUAAAAUAUUUUUACAAUGUCAGUUUGUCGAAACUGCUGGACUGUAAACUAUUUCUAAUCGAAACCUGAAAUUGUGUCACAACAUGGCUGUAUUACGAUUCCAUGUCAGAGGAAGGAUAUAUACGUGCAUCUGGUAGUGGCUUCCAGUUGUUGCUGUCAGAUGUUUGUUUGGGAAUGCAUUCAGAAGAGCUUAUCAAGGACUUGAGUACAAAACAAGCAUUUCCACAAAAAAGCAGGUAAGAAAGACACUUCUCCUCACAAAUGACCUUAGGUUUAGACAAUUCUAGGAAAAUGGUGGUACAUUAACUCAACGUCUUGACCAUUUUCCCUGAUCCUGUAUAGGGAGCUGCUGCAGUUACAAAAGUUAGACAGGAUCUUGGUAGGUGUAUUCUUCCACAUUUGAACACCGGAAGUACUGAUCACAUAAACAGCGAACCCCACAACUCUAUGAUUGUUCUUUAGAAGAGAGUGCCACCGAGAGCUUUUAAAAAGUUAACUCACUUUUCAGUAAUCUUACUGGUUAGAAUUGAUACUCCCUCCCUGAAAUUCUCACCUUCAUAAAUUUUUGCAGCAUCACUUUAUGAUUCCUCUCCUUUUACUUAAGCCACUGCUCAGGCUUCUUUCCUAACUCCUCUGGGAAAUGCUGAUAUUCCCAGGGUUCUGUCACUGGCCCUCUGCUCAUUCUAUACCUUUCCCAUCAUGGAUAAGCUCACUCAGAUCUACAACUUUGCCUCCGUUAUUCCAAGUCUGCAACUCCAACCUCCGAGUUCCAUCUCCAACCAUAAAAAUUUUAUGCAAUUACCUACUGAAAAUAUCCCACAUGGACAUUUCAGUAAACUCAGCAAUGCAGAGAAAACUGUUAGUCGUGGCUGCUGACCCACGCUCUCCUCUAUACACCUGAAAACUGCCUACUCCCUCGUGUCCAGGUUAAAUGCUAGGGCACAAGCCAGAAACCUGAGAAUCAUCUGAGAUUUCUCCCUAUCCCCUAUCUUUUUACAUUCAACAGUCACUAAAUCAUAUUAACUGUACCUCUUUUCUGCAUCUGCUUUAUAUUUCCACUGUGACACAUUUA
This 18306-nucleotide long non-coding RNA is filed under the name Homo sapiens (human). Its description in RNAcentral is "non-protein coding CCDC144NL-AS1:31". The record is from RNAcentral. Lineage: Eukaryota; Metazoa; Chordata; Mammalia; Primates; Hominidae.